Eptesicus fuscus (big brown bat) is the source of this 264-nucleotide long non-coding RNA. RefSeq lists it as uncharacterized. NCBI's taxonomy places the organism in Eukaryota, Metazoa, Chordata, Mammalia, Chiroptera, Vespertilionidae. The transcript is spliced from 3 exons. The record is from RefSeq and is a predicted model, not a curated record.
CAACUGAGGCCCUAGCACCCCUGCCUGAAGGCCGCCCCAACCCCCGAACCUGCCCUGGUUCCUGACACAGAGGACUGGCUGGAAGAGGCGUCCUGGGCAGACACAGAGCUGCUUUUGGAAUAUCAUGGACAAGAGUCACACCUGCCUUCCAGAGCUGAGAUGAGCAAUAAUCCGUUUUCCUGACAUCAGAAUAAUUUGUAGGAUUGUCCUAGCUGUCCAUAUAGAGUAAACUUCUGGACCUGGUCCACACAGCCAUCACCUGAG